This 381-nucleotide ribosomal RNA is filed under the name uncultured marine Chaetocerotaceae. RNAcentral describes it as "SSU rRNA". It matches the Rfam family "Eukaryotic small subunit ribosomal RNA", at positions 587 to 972 of the family's 1831-position model. Lineage: Eukaryota; Bacillariophyta; Thalassiosirophyceae; Chaetocerotales; Chaetocerotaceae. The record is from RNAcentral.
AGCUCCAAUAGCGUAUAUUAAAGUUGCUGCAGUUAAAAAGCUCGUAGUUGCAUUUCCGAGGCAAGGGAUUAGUCCGACCUUUGGUGGGUAUUUAAUCCUCUUGCCUCGUCCUUGAGUGGUGCUUCUUGGUAUUAAGUUAUCGAGGAGAUAGCCGCUCAUCGUUUACUGUGAGAAAAUUAGAGUGUUCAAAGCAGGCUUAUGCCGUUGAAUAUAUUAGCAUGGAAUAAUAUGAUAGGACCUCGGUACUAUUUUGUUGGUUUGAGAACCAAGGUAAUGAUGAAUAGGGACAGUUGGGAGUAUUCGUAUUCAGUUGUCAGAGGUGAAAUUCUUAGAUUUACGGAAGACGAACUACUGCGAAAGCAUUUACCAAGGAUGGUUUCA